CACCGGCGGCUCGAGUGGUGGCCACUUUUAUUGGGUCUAAAGCGUCCGUAGCCGGCUUGGCAAGUCCCCUGGGAAAUCUGGCGGCUUAACCGUCAGGCGUCCAGAGGAUACUGCCAGGUUUGGGACCGGGAGAGGUGAGAGGUACCUCAGGGGUAGGGGUGAAAUCUUGUGAUCCCUGAGGGACCACCAGUGGCGAAGGCGUCUCACUAGAACGGGUCCGACGGUCAGGGACGAAAGCUGGGGGCACGAACCGG
This 254-nucleotide ribosomal RNA is filed under the name uncultured microorganism. Its description in RNAcentral is "partial 16S ribosomal RNA". It matches the Rfam family "Archaeal small subunit ribosomal RNA", at positions 474 to 727 of the family's 1478-position model. The record is from RNAcentral.